Molecule: long non-coding RNA, 1263 nt
Organism: Chelonoidis abingdonii (Abingdon island giant tortoise)
Lineage: Eukaryota; Metazoa; Chordata; Testudines; Testudinidae
Source: RefSeq, a predicted model, not a curated record
UGUUAAGUGAAAUGAUAUAGUGAGGGCGGCACGUUAUGGGACGAAGUCCGAAAAGAACACGUACUACUGGGUGGAUGGAGAGAUCGACCCUUUGUCAACAGGCAACUGGGUUUGCUCCAGAGAGUUAUCUCGGUUAAGUCUCAGUGCAGCAAUGAGCUUGGUAUAAGAAGACUCCUGCACCCACACAGAGCCCCUACUGAAGUGAAGAACUUACAGUCAAAUCAUGGGAGCUCCAAUAAGGUGGAUCACAUGGUUGUAAACUGAUGCAACAUAUUAAUUUGCUCCUAUUUGCUAUCUGGAAUAUAGUCUGCAAAAGAAUAAAAGGCAAAAUUCCUGUUGUACCCAUCCCCGCCUCCCAGUUUUCAUACAUUUAAUGGAGGAAAUUGUUCUACAAGAUAAAAACAACUUCAGUUUAGCGUGCCUUGAUACAUUACAACUGGUACAGCUAGUCUAAAUCCAACACUACUAUAAGUACACAUGUUGCAAUGUGUUUUUGGAAGAGCAAACUUCAGAAAACCUACAGUUAUGUCUUGCAAAAGCAUUGUAUAUUUCAUAUGUUUCUGUGAUUGCACGCAGGUUACAGCAGUGCACCCCCUUAUAGUAGCUAGCACCCCAGGUAAGCCCAGCUUCACUUCCUUUCACCCAGCUUAUAAACAAGUCCAGACAGACCCUUUUAAUCAAACACCCAUUUUCCAAGGGUCUCAUUUAUUAACUAGAGCCAUAAACAUAAAGUGGAUCUUACUCAGCUACACCCAGGGAUGUUCAUUAACUCUGGCUUAAUCCAACAUGCAGUCCCUAGCUCCUUCCUUCCAGAGACUCUUCUUUCCUGUGCCUAUAAAGAGUCUCUAUUUCUGCAACCUUCUCAGUUCCUUCUGUGGGUUAUGCCUUUCAGUCUGCCCUUAGGCAGGAAUCACCAGCUCUCCUGUCUGGAACUGGGAUGUAGUAUUAGUUAGUCCCCUCACUGUCUCCUUAAACAGGAGUCUCUUCAACUCUCUGCUCUGAUGCUGUUUAUCAGAUUUCAUGGUCCUCCUUAGGGAGCCAUCACCUCUCCUCUCUGAAGCUGAGUUAUGUUUUAGCCAGCAAGUAAGGCCUUUGCCAGGUUCUCCCUCAGCUGGCCCCUUUUCCUUUAUGAGACUUCAGGCUGCCUAGCAGCUUAGCCUUUCCCUGCUGGUGUCUACUCUGCUCUGAGAGAGGAGGUAGUCUUUAUGCUGGUCCCCUUUUCUCAGCUCAUCCCUAAUUGGUUAGAUGCGAGGGGACCGUUGC